UGUAUUAGGUUGGUGCAAAAGUGAUUGUGGUUUUUGCCAUUUUUUUUUAAAGCUAUGGCAAAAACUGCAAUUACUUUUGCACCAACCUAAUA
Molecule: microRNA precursor, 92 nt
Filed under: Gorilla gorilla gorilla (western lowland gorilla)
Lineage: Eukaryota; Metazoa; Chordata; Mammalia; Primates; Hominidae
Description: miRNA (ENSGGOG00000029315.2)
Source: RNAcentral